This is a non-coding RNA of Momordica charantia (bitter melon), 6170 nucleotides long. Lineage: Eukaryota; Viridiplantae; Streptophyta; Magnoliopsida; Cucurbitales; Cucurbitaceae. The record is from RefSeq and is a predicted model, not a curated record.
UCACAUUAGCUAGAUAAGGGGUAUGUUAUGGGUAUACAAGUGAGGCAGAAUGUCUCUAUUGAUUUGAGGCAUUUUGGGUGAUUCCAAAAGUCAAACCAUGAGAUCUUAUGGUCAAGUGAACAGUAUCAUACCAAUUAGAGUCGUGUCUCACAUUAGUUAGAUAAAGGGGAGGUUAUGGGUAUGUAAGUGAGACACAACAUCUCUAUUGAUUUGAAGCUUUUUGGGUGAUACCAAAAGUCAAACCAUGAGGGCUUAUGCCCAAAGUGGAAAGUAUCACACCAAUUAGAGAUGUUUCUCACAUGAGAAGGGGAAGGUUAUGGGUAUCACAAGUGAGAGACAUCUCUAUUGAUUUGAAGCUUUUUGGGUGAUACCAAAAAACAAUACCAUGAGGGCUUAUGUCCAAAGUAGACAAUAUCAUACCAAUUAAAGAUGUGGAGGGUGGUUCCUUGUCCUAAAUAAGUGGUAUCAUAAAUUUGUUCCUAACAUAGAGAUGUGCCAGGGGUUUUGGGUUAUAUGUGUAUAGAUGUGAGGGGACAUCUCAAUUGAUUUGAGCCAUUUUGGGUGAUACCAAAAGUCAAACCAUGAGGGAUAGUGCCCAAAGUUGACAAUAUCAUAACAAUUAGAUAUGUGUCUCACAAUAGAUAGAUAAGAGGAAGUUUAUGGAUUUACAAGUGAGGGACAACAUCUUUAUUGAUUGUUGAGGCAUUUUGGGUGAUACCAAAAGUCAGACCAUUUGAGUUUAUGCCCAGAAUAGACAAUAUCAUUCUAAUUAGAGGCGUGUCUCACAUUAGCUAGAUAAAGGGAAGGUUAUAGGCAUACAUGUGAAGGACAACAUCUCUAUUGAUUUGAGGCCUAUUGGGUAAUACCAAAAGUCAAACCACGAGUGUUUAUGCCCAAGUAGAGAUGUGUCUCACAUUAGCUAGAUAAGGGGAAUGUUAUUGGUAUACAAGUGAGGCACAACGUCUCUAUUAAUUUGAGGCCUUUUGGGUGAUUCCAAAAGUCCAAUUAUGAGAUCUUAUGCCCAAAUGGACAAUAUCAUACCAAUUAGAGACGUGUCUUACAUUAGUUAGAUAAAGGGUAGGUUAAGGGUAUUCAAGUGAGGGGCAACAUCUCUAUUGAUUUGAAACUUUUUGGGUGAUACCAAAAGUCAAACCAUGUGGGCUUAUGCCCAAAGUGGAAAAUAUCACACCAAUUAGAGAUGUUUUUCACAUGAGAAGGGGAAGGUUAUGGGUAUCACAAGUGAGGGACAACAUCUCUAUUGAUUUGAGGCUUUUUGGGUGAUACCAACAACCAUAUCAUACCAAUUAGAGAUGUGGAGGGUGGUUCCUUGUCCUAAAUAAGUGGUAUCAUAGCUUUGUUCCUAACUUAGCUACUUGAGUAGCAUACUCAGGUGCCGAAAAAAGUGGCGAGCGUCAGGGGUUUUGGGUUGUAUGAGUAUAGAUGUGAGGGGACAACAUCUCUAUUGAUUUGAGACAUUUUGGCUAAUACCAAAAGUCAAACCAUGAGGGCUUAUGUCCAAAGUGGACAAUAUCAUAACAAUUAGAGAUGUUUCUCACAAUAGAUAGAUAAGGGAAAGUUUAUGGAUUUACAAGUGAGGAACAUUAUCUGUAUUGAUUGUUGACGCAUUAUUGGUGAUACCAAAAGUUAGACCAUUCGGGUUUAUGUCCAAAGUGGACAAUAUCAUUCCAAUUAGAGGUGUGUCUCACAUUAGCUAGAUAAGGGGAAGGUUGUGGGUAUACAUGUGAAGGACAACAUCUGAGGCCUAUUGGGUAAUACCAAGAGUCAAACCACGAGAGCUUAUGCCCAAGUGGGCAAUAUCAUACCAAUUAGAGACGUGUCUCACAUUAGUUAGAUAAGGGGAAUGUUAUUGGUAUACAAACGAGGCACAGCGUCUCUAUUGAUUUGAGGCCUUUUGGGUGAUUCCAAAAGUCCAAUUAUGAGAUCUUAUGCCCAAGUAGACAAUAUCAUACCAAUCAGAGACGUGUCUCACAUUAGUUAGAUAAAAGGGAAGUUAUGGGUAUGCAAGUGAGGGACAACAUCUCUAUUGAUUUGAAGCUUUUUGGGUGAUACCAAAAGUCAAACCACGAGGACUUAUGUCCAAAGUGGAAAAUAUCACACCAAUUAGAGAUGUUUCUCACAUGUGAAGGGGAAGAUUAUGGGUAUCACAAGUGAGGGACAACAUCUAUAUUGAUUUGAGGCUUUUUGGGUGAUACCAAAAACAAUACCGUGGGGCUUAUGUCCAAAAUGCACAAUAUCAUACUAAUUAGAGAUGUGGAGGGUGGUUCCUUGUCCUAAAUAAGUGGUAUCAUAAAUUUGUUCCUAACUUAGAGAUGUGUCACGGGUUUUGGGUUACAUGAGUAUAGAUGUGAGAAGACAACAUCUCUAUUGAUUUGAGGCAUUUUGGGUGAUACCAAAAGUCAAACCAUGAGGGCUUAUGCCCAAAGUGGACAAUAUCAUAACAAUUAGAGAUGUCUCACAUUAGAUAGAUAAGAGGAAGUUUAUUGGUAUACAAGUGAGGGAGAACAUUUCUAUUAAUUGUUGAGGCAUUUUGGGUGAUACCAACAGUCAGACCAUGCGGGCUUAUGCCCAUAGUGGACAAUAUCAUUCCAAUUAGAGGAGUGUCUCACGUUAGCUAGAUAAGGGGAAUGUUAUGGGUAUACAUGCGAAGGACAACAUCUCUAUUGAUUUGAGGCAUAUUGGGUAAUACCAAAAGUCAAACCAUGAGAGCUUAUGCCUAAGUGGACAAUAUCAUACAAAUUAGAGAUGACCUUAUCUAGAUAAGGGGAAUGUUAUGGGUAUAGAAGUGAGGCAUAACGUCUCUAUUGAUUUGAGGCCUUUUGGGUGAUUCCAAAAGUCAAACCGUGUGAUCUUAUGCCCAAGUGGACAAUAUCAUACCAAUUAGAGACGUGUCUCACAUUAGUUAGAUAAAGGGGAGGUUAUGGGUAUGCAAGUGAGAGACAACAUCUCUAUUGAUUUGAAGCUUUUUGGGUGGUACCAAAAGUCAAACCAUGAGGGCUUAUGGCCAAAGUGGAAAAUAUCACACCAAUUAGAGAUGUUUCUCACAUGUGAAGGGGAAGGUUAUGGGUAUCACAAGUGAGAGACAACAUCUCUAUUGAUUUGAGGCUUUUUGGUGAUACCAAAAACAAUACCAUGUGGCUUAUGUCCAAAGUGGACAAUAUCAUACUAAUUAGAGAUGUGGAGGGUGGUUCCUUGUCCUAAAUAAGUGGUAUCAUAGCUUUGUCCUACCUGAGUAGCAUACUCAGGUGCUGAAAAAAGUGGCGAGCAUCAGGGGUUUAUAUGAGUAUAGAUGUGAGUGGACAACAUCUCUAUUGAUUUGAGACAUUUUGGGUGAUACCAAAAGUUAAACCAUGAGGACUUAUGCCCAAAGUGGGCAAUAUCAUUACAAUUAGUGAUGUGUCUCACAUUAGAUAGAUAAGAGGAAUUUUAUGAGUAUAUAAGUGAGGGACAACAUCUCUAUUGAUUGUUGAGGCAUUUUAGGUAAUACGAAAAGUCAAACCAUGAACAAUAUCAAACCAAUUAGAGAUGUGUCUUACAUUAGCUAGACAAGGGGAAUGUUACGGGUAUACAAGUGAGACACAACGUCUAUUGAUUUGAGGCCUUUUCGGUGAUGCCAAAUGUCAAACCAUGAGAUCUUAUGCCCAAGUGGACAAUAUCAUACCAAUUAGAGAUGUUUCUCACAUUAGCUAGAUAAGGGGAAGAUUAUGGGUAUCACAAGUGAGGGACAGCAUCUCUAUUGAUUUGAGGUAUUUUGGGUGAUACCAAAAGUCAAACCAUGAGGGCUUAGGCCCAAAGUGGACAAUAUCAUACCAAUUAGAGAGGUGGAGGGUGGUUCCUUAUCUAAAUAAGUGGUAUCAUAGCUUUGAUCCUAACUGAGGUCUUAACUACCUGAGUAUGCUACUCAGGUGCCGAAAAAAGUGGGAGCUUCAUGGUUUUUGGGUUAUAUGGGUAUAGAUGUGACGGGACAAAAUCUCUAUUGAUUUGAAGCUUUUUGGGUGAUAUCAAAUUUCAAACCCUGAGGGCUUUUGUCCAAAGUGUACGAAUCAUACUAAUUUGAGAUGUGUCUCACAUUAGCUAGGCAAGGGGAUGCUUCCAUUCAAGUGAGGGACAACAUUUCUAUUGAUUUGAGGCCUGUUAGUUAAUAUCAAAAGUCAAACCAUGAGUGCUUAUGUCCAAGUGGAUAAUAUCAUUCCAAUUAGAGACGUGUCUCACAUUAGCUAGAUAAGGGGAAUGUUAUGGGUAUACAAGUGAGGCACAAUAUCUCUACUGAUUUGAGGUCUUUUGGGUGAUGCCAAAAGUUAAACCAUGAGAUCUUAUGCCCAAGUGGACAAUAUCAUACCAAUUAUAGAUGUGUCUCACAUUAGUUAGAUAAAGGGAAGGUUAUGGAUAUGCAAGUGAGGGACAACAAUUCUAUUGAUUUGAAGCUUUUUGGGUGAUACCAAAAGUCAAACCACGAAGGCUUAUGCCAAAAGUUGACAAUAUCCGACCUAUUAGAGACGUGUCUCACACGAGCUAGAUAAUGGGAAGGUUAUGGGUGUCACAAGAGAGGGACAACAUCUCUAUUGAUUUGAGGCCUUUUGGGUGAUAACAAAAAUAAUAUCACGAGGGUUUAUGCUCAAAGUGGAUAAUAUCAUACCAAUUAGUGAUGUUUCUCACCUGAGAUAGAUAAGGGGAAGGUUAUGGGUAUCACAAGUGAGGAACAAAAUCUCUAUUUAAGGCCUUUUGGGUGAUACCAAAAAGUAUUCCAUGAGGGCUUAUGCCGAAAGUGGACAAUAUCAUCAUACCAAUUAGAGAUAUGGAGGGUGAUUCCAAAAGCAAAGUUAUGAGGGUAAUGUCCAAAGUGGAUGUAGAGAUAUGCAUAAUGGUACCUUAUUCUUUUUUUUUGUUUUUUUGGUUUUUUUGAGUAUCUUUCUAAUGCGUGUUCAAUAACAUAUGUUAGACUUUUGUAUUUUAUAUGAAGCCUCUGUAUGUUAUUCAUGAAAUGAUGAAUUUAAAAAGACUAUAUAAUUCCAUUACAUUAUUAGAAGCAUGACAUAGUAAUACUAUAACAAUUUCUUUACCCUCCCCACUUUUUGCUUUUUUUCUUUUGUUAAUCGUCUUUAUAGAUUUGCUACUCGGGUUUCUUUAUAGAUCUCAAAUAUUAUGCAGUUCCCACGGUAAGUACAACUUUCUAUCUUGAUAAUUUUGAAAUGCUUUUAACCGAAGUCAUAGGUAUUCUGACCAUGUAUUUUUCUUUUUAUUAGUUUUUUAAGUGAAAAUUUGCUUAUAAAUAUAGUUAAUUAAUGUUAUUAUUUUUAAAUUUUGAAUCAUUUUUUUUUCUGAAAGAAUUUAUCUAUUUUGAAUCCAUGUGUUUUUGUCUCAAUUGGAAUUAAAACUGUUAUUAUUUAUUAUUAUUACUUCUUUUUUCUUCUUUGAAAAAAAAAAGAAACAUUUUUAUUUAUUUGCAAUCGAAAUCACAAAAUUGGAGGUAUAUUUUUUAGAAUAAAAGCUUUAAAGAACAGUAUGUGUUAAACUUGUAAUAUUGUUUGUUCUUUUGUAUUUUAGUUGCCUUAGGUUUUAAUUUUUAUUCAUUUCUAAUGGAUUAUAAUAAAUUUAUUUGAAAUUUAUACUAUAUUUUAAUUAAUAGAAAAGAACCAAAACGACAGUGUAUGUAUACUGUGAUGAAGCUGUUACAUAUAUUGACAACUGUGUAUGUUUGAUUAGGUUAACAUAAAAACUCAGAAUCGUGUGGACCAAGUCUGCAUAUAGUCCCAAAUUUCGCCCGCAAGUUGACGAUUCGAGACAACUUGAUUUGGUGAGUUGAAGGCGUACCAAACUGUUCUUGAUACGAGCUUGCAACAUAAUACCUCUCAAUUUCAUGAUGCUUCAAGGAUUUGUGCUAUAUACAGCACAACAACGAAAAGGUUUGGAGUGGUUAGGGAAAAUCUUUUUAAAGACUUUAUUGUUCUAUAAUUUGCUAAAAGAACUAUGUCGAACGAGAACAAUUGCAAACCGAUAUCAGGAUUGAAGAUGUCUACUUUCUGUGUGGUGUUGCAAUUCGACACUACCACUCUCAAUACAAAAAACAAGGCUGGGCCCAAAAGUACAUAAUUGGCCCACCAGAAUCACUAGCUAGACGGGGCGACACCUGGGCCUGUCCGUAACCAGCCCAA